Austrofundulus limnaeus is the source of this 2677-nucleotide long non-coding RNA. RefSeq lists it as uncharacterized. NCBI's taxonomy places the organism in Eukaryota, Metazoa, Chordata, Actinopteri, Cyprinodontiformes, Rivulidae. The record is from RefSeq and is a predicted model, not a curated record. The transcript is spliced from 2 exons.
UUUUUCUCAUGGUCAGCGUAGCGUUCCUGCUCUGUGGAUUUCCACUUGAGGACCGGAGUGCAAACUGAUCCUGACACUUGCAGCAGUCUUUGCUGUGGUAAGAUGUCUUGCCUCCAUGGUGAGGCAGCAGAUUUGUUGCAGAGGUUGCAGCAAUUUUGCUUCGUGUUUUCACGCUCCCCCGACAGAGAUAGGAGUGUGCAUCAUAUGCCGGCGCUGACAAACAACUUUGGCUUUAAUUAACAAGGCAGCUUGGCUGCCCAUUGGCUGACACAUUCCACUGAGAGAGCUUUCUUAAUGCUAGUGGGACGUCCCUGGGCCUCGUCUCUCUCUCUCUCUCUCUCUCUCUCUCUCUCUCUCUCUCUCUCUCUCUCUCUCUCUCUCUCUUUCUCCAGGAUGUGGACCGGCUCGACCCCGUCCAUAUAACACUAAAUGAUCAAUCCUCUCUUUGUGUCAGCUGCUGCAUCACUUCUGUUCGUAUCCUUAGGUGGCCUUUGUUAAAUCCUGCUCAUGUGACGGCAGUAACAGGGGGGUUAGACACGUUAAACUACCAUGUUAGGACAACUAAUACUAUAUUUUAUAAUCUAAAUGGGGAUGUUUUAUAUUCACAGGGGGCUUCUUUGCCUUUUUUAUGUCGCUUUUGAAUAUUUCCUGUGUACGAAACCUUCUUUUAAGGUGUCAGUUUCUGGUUAGCAGUGUGACAGGAGGGUUAGUGAAGAUGGGUGGAGAACUGAGCUCUGAGUCCUGACAGGUCAGAUGCUCACAGGGAGACAGCAGCAUUCAGUGUCCAAAGAAAACCACCAUCUUUUCUUGGCGUAUUAUUUCAUCGACUACAUGAGUGGGUUAAUUUCUGUUCCUGUGUUUUCCAUGGCAUGGAGCAGAAAUGGUGGCGAUGAGAACAAGCUGCACAUUUGGCUUUCUAUUGUCUUUUAUUUCUCUCACCCUUUCCAUUUCCUCUCCUCUCCUCUCUUUCUUCCUUUCUUUCUUUCUUUCUUUCUUUCUCUGCGCUCGUAUGCACAGCCUCGUCCCCUCCUCCAUAUGUGAAGCACCAGCAGCGGCACAUACAUGUACAAAGAGCCGUGCCGGGGCCACACAUGCAUGUGGAGUUCACACACGGCUGCACAACACCCCGCCAUCAUACGUGUCCUGCCUGACACCGUGGGGGCCUCCUGUGGCAGAUCAGAAAAUAAAACAAGCUUCCAAUCCAGGACUUCUCUAGAUUUUAAUCGCCAGAGUUCGAUCCCACGCUCGCCUAAACGCCACCUUUUUUUCUUUUGCAUCCCACGACGACGCCGCGAUGCCAAGAAACGGCGGCAUACGUAACAAUUACCCUAAUUGAACAUUCCGGAGCAGUCUUGCAAAAUGGCUGCCGAGCCGGCGUGCUGUCUGUGAUGGCCGACAGGAGCGUGUAGGUCUGAGGCGUGUGCACGUAUAGCUGCGCACGUCUGUGUACAUAAUCAGCCUGCCUGGCUGCUGCAUUCCAUUUUUCUUUCUAUUUUUUUCCCCCUUAUUUAUUUUUUUAGUGAUUGCUUUGUGUCAUGAAAGUCUCUGCUACUGGAGAUCUCCGCUAAUCCUGACUGUAAUUACCCUCCUCGGUGUACCUCGACCGUAGGAGGCUUUAUGUCAAACUGCCUCGCACUAACAGUUGUGGCUGAUUACAUGACAGCCUGUCGAAAAAGAAAAAAAAAAGGACAGUGUUUACUGUAAAAAGAAAAACUCCGCUUCAGACGGCGGCGGCACCGUUCAGUUCCACACCUGGCGCCUUCAGCUUGCCCGACGCCGAGGUUUGUGAACGUGCUCUGCCAAACAGCUGACCUUGAUGUUUCUUUGCAGCUCUCUGCCUCCGCAGCCUCAGCGCCCCCGGUGGUCCGCCCGGCCAACGAGUCCCGCACCCAUCCAUCCCAGCAGCGAGCAAAAACAGGGCCGGGCCUGGCAACCUGCAGGAGUCAUCAGGGUUAGUGCUCCUUUGGCACGAGCCGGUGCCAGAAGCAUCCGCAAGCAUCUGGCAGGAACCUGUAAAUUUAUACGUCCGAACUCAAACCCAAAGGCCAGGCAAUCAAAAAACUGUAGAGCCAAGGAUCUGCGCAAGCUUUUUGUUUGAGCGACGAGCAGCCACAGAUGGAGGAGAGAGAUGGAGGAGGCAGAGCUGACUCCGAACCCCCUGGAGAUGAAGCAGUGAGGUGGAACCACUCGCCUGCUUCCCUGUGGAAACCAGAAAAAAAAAACCAGGAGAAAAACUCUUCCACCAUCAGAGCGCCAUCUGCAGACUCGGUGGGGUGGGACAGCUGGUGUUGUGAAUCAGGCCGCCACAGUCCACGGACCGGCUACUUCCCAACACCAGGGUCUCACCGUCGCUCCUCGCACCGCGUCCGUCCUCCACCUCGCCCUCCACCUCGUCCUCCACCUCGUCCUCCACCUCGUCCUCCACCUCGUCCUUCACCUCGUCCUUCGCCUCGUCCUUCUGGAACACUGCUGGGCUGUCUCACAUUUACAACACUUUUGUUUACAGUCUUAUUAAGUUUGUGCUGCAAUAAGAUGAUAUAAAAAAAGAAGCAAAGUUUAAAUAAAUGUAAAAAGAUGAGGAAACUAAAGCAUUAUGUCUGGCAGCUUUUUAAAAAUAUUCACAUAUGGAUUAAAAUGUUCUUAAAUGAAAAACAAUACAAUAAUUCAUGAGAUUAAA